CCCGAGGAGCGCUGCGAGGCUUGUCCCCAGGCUCGGGUCUUUUACAACGGCGCUCACC
Molecule: non-coding RNA, 58 nt
Filed under: uncultured Aquitalea sp.
Lineage: Bacteria; Pseudomonadati; Pseudomonadota; Betaproteobacteria; Neisseriales; Chromobacteriaceae
Description: S-adenosyl-L-homocysteine riboswitch
Rfam family: SAH (S-adenosyl-L-homocysteine) riboswitch aptamer
Source: RNAcentral